Molecule: ribosomal RNA, 427 nt
Filed under: uncultured bacterium
Lineage: Bacteria
Description: partial 16S ribosomal RNA
Rfam family: Bacterial small subunit ribosomal RNA
Source: RNAcentral
UGGGGAAUAUUGGACAAUGGGCGAAAGCCUGAUCCAGCCAUGCCGCGUGUGUGAAGAAGGUCUUCGGAUUGUAAAGCACUUUAAGUUGGGAGGAAGGGCAUUAACCUAAUACGUUAGUGUUUUGACGUUACCGACAGAAUAAGCACCGGCUAACUCUGUGCCAGCAGCCGCGGUAAUACAGAGGGUGCAAGCGUUAAUCGGAAUUACUGGGCGUAAAGCGCGCGUCGGUGGUUUGUUAAGUUGGAUGUGAAAUCCCCGGGCUCAACCUGGGAACUGCAUUCAAAACUGACUGACUAGAGUAUGGUAGAGGGUGGUGGAAUUUCCUGUGUAGCGGUGAAAUGCGUAGAUAUAGGAAGGAACACCAGUGGCGAAGGCGACCACCUGGACUAAUACUGACACUGAGGUGCGAAAGCGUGGGGAGCAAACA